RNAcentral lists this ribosomal RNA (564 nucleotides) under uncultured archaeon. RNAcentral's name for it is "bacterial SSU rRNA". It matches the Rfam family "Archaeal small subunit ribosomal RNA", at positions 312 to 879 of the family's 1478-position model. The record is from RNAcentral.
CGCGAUUCGCCCUUCGGGGUGCCCAGGCGCGAAAACUUUGCAAUACACGAAAGUGUGACAGGGUCAUCCCGAGUGCCGACCGCUGAGGUUGGCUUUUACCCAGUCUAGAAAGCUGGGGGAAUAAGGAGAGGGCAAGUCUGGUGUCAGCCGCCGCGGUAAUACCAGCUCUCCGAGUGGUGUGGACGUUUAUUGGGCCUAAAGCAUCCGUAGCUGGCUGAACAAGUCCCCUGUUAAACCCACCGAUUUAAUCGUUGGUCUGCGGGGGAUACUGCUCGGCUAGGGGACGAGAGAGGCAGACGGUAUUCCCGGGGUAGGGGUGAAAUCCUAUAAUCCCGAGAAGACCACCAGUGGCGAAGGCUGUCUGCUAGAACGCGCCCGACGGUGAGGGGUGAAAGCUGGGGGAGCGAACCGGAUUAGAUACCCGGGUAGUCCCAGCUGUAAACGAUGCAGACUAGGUGUUUGGACGGCCACGUGCCGUUCUAGUGCCGCAGGGAAGCUGUUAAGUCUGCCGCCUGGGGAGUACGAUCGCAAGAUUGAAACUUAAAGGAAUUGGCGGGGGAGCAC